This 433-nucleotide ribosomal RNA is filed under the name uncultured bacterium. Its description in RNAcentral is "partial 16S ribosomal RNA". It matches the Rfam family "Bacterial small subunit ribosomal RNA", at positions 29 to 507 of the family's 1533-position model. The record is from RNAcentral.
AACGAACGCUGGCGGCAUGCCUAACACAUGCAAGUCGAACGAGACCUUCGGGUCUAGUGGCGCACGGGUGCGUAACGCGUGGGAACCUGCCCUUAGGUUCGGAAUAACUCCCCGACAGGGGUGCUAAUACCGGAUAAUGUCUUCGGACCAAUGAUUUAUCGCCUUUGGUUGUGCCCGCGUUGGAUUAGCUAGUUGUUAGGCUAAAAGCCUACCAAGGCGACGAUCCAUAGCUGGUCUGAGAGGAGGAUCAGCCACACUGGGACUGGGACACGGCCCAGACUCCUACGGGAGGCAGCAGUGGGGAAUAUUGGACAGUGGGCGAAAGCCUGAUCCAGCAAUGCCGCGUGAGUGAUGAAGGCCUUAGGGUUGUAAAGCUCUUUUACCCGGGAUGAUAAUGACAGUACCGGGAGAAUAAGCUCCGGCUAACUCCGUG